Long non-coding RNA from Salvelinus namaycush (lake trout), 858 nucleotides. RefSeq lists it as uncharacterized. The record is from RefSeq and is a predicted model, not a curated record. NCBI's taxonomy places the organism in Eukaryota, Metazoa, Chordata, Actinopteri, Salmoniformes, Salmonidae. The transcript has 3 exons.
UACUGGACUCCUGUUUCAACAUGGUAAGAGUCUCUGUUACUGGACUCCUGUUUCAACAUGGUAAGAGUCUCUGUUACUGGACUCCUGUUUCAACAUGGUAAGAGUCUCUGUUACUGGACUCCUGUUUCAACAUGGUAAGAGUCUCUGUUACUGGACUCCUGUUUCAACAUGGGUGGUGAAUCUCAACACUCCAACCUGGUAUUCAUCCUGCUCAUGACUACAGAAAGGGAACUUGUAACUCUCUUGGAGCAGAUGGCACAGAUUUCAACACCACAAAUGUAAUUCUUACUUCUUACUUCUUACUUCUGGUUAGUAUACUGUACAUGAAGUAUGUUCUGUCAUGAUAAUGAUGUUGACUGGUAGUUUAUAAUGUAUUUAACUCAAUCCUCGGUGUGAUCGCUCUAUGGCGUGGUUGUUUUCGUUUGGGACCGCGCCGGUUAUGGAUCGCAUGGAUUAGUAGCAACAUUGUUGCGAAGCUUUAUCCUACAAACCAACGGACAGUCAGACAGUACACCGGCACGCCUGGAGACCACAGCUAAGAUCUCUCUGGUUCCCCUUCUCUCUUUCUCUUCCCUCUUUCGUUCCAGUGCUUUACCCUGAAACAGACUCGCUAUUUUACUAAUGCACUUCCCAGUGAAGUUCAUUGGAGCUGGACUAUUAUUGCCCUGCCAGAAGUAUUUGGGUGGACAUUUUAGUUAAAAGGGAGGUUGCUUUAAAGUUGUGUAUUGUUAUUUGAACUGUAUUGAGGUGGGGUGUACUAAGGACAUGUGGCCGAGAAGAUUGUGGACAUUUUUAAAAGCCUUUGUUGUGUCUAUGAACACCCCCCACAUUCAUACCCUCUGCACUCCUCCACUGGAA